GGGGGCGUGUUGUAAUCGGCAGCCUGAUUGUUUACCAAACCAUCGGAGCGGGUUCAAAUCCCGUCGCCUCCACCA
This 75-nucleotide transfer RNA is filed under the name Actinomycetota bacterium. Its description in RNAcentral is "Actinobacteria bacterium tRNA-Gly". It matches the Rfam family "tRNA". Rfam says of the family: Transfer RNA (tRNA) molecules are approximately 80 nucleotides in length. Their secondary structure includes four short double-helical elements and three loops (D, anti-codon, and T loops). Lineage: Bacteria; Bacillati; Actinomycetota. The record is from RNAcentral.